RNAcentral lists this ribosomal RNA (493 nucleotides) under Bacillus sp. Nj-93. RNAcentral describes it as "bacterial SSU rRNA". It matches the Rfam family "Bacterial small subunit ribosomal RNA", at positions 496 to 987 of the family's 1533-position model. The record is from RNAcentral. Lineage: Bacteria; Bacillati; Bacillota; Bacilli; Caryophanales; Bacillaceae.
GCUAACUACGUGCCUGCAGCCGCGGUAAUACGUAGGGGGCAAGCGUUGUCCGGAAUUAUUGGGCGUAAAGCGCGCGCAGGCGGUCUCUUAAGUCUGAUGUGAAAGCCCACGGCUCAACCGUGGAGGGUCAUUGGAAACUGGGGGACUUGAGUGUAGGAGAGGAAAGUGGAAUUCCACGUGUAGCGGUGAAAUGCGUAGAUAUGUGGAGGAACACCAGUGGCGAAGGCGACUUUCUGGCCUAUAACUGACGCUGAGGCGCGAAAGCGUGGGGAGCAAACAGGAUUAGAUACCCUGGUAGUCCACGCCGUAAACGAUGAGUGCUAGGUGUUAGGGGUUUCGAUGCCCUUAGUGCCGAAGUUAACACAUUAAGCACUCCGCCUGGGGAGUACGACCGCAAGGUUGAAAAUCAAAGCCAUUGACGGGGGCCCGCACAAGCAGUGGAGCAUGUGGUUUAAUUCGAAGCAACGCGAAGAACCUUACCAGGUCUUGACAU